Zalophus californianus (California sea lion) is the source of this 428-nucleotide non-coding RNA. The record is from the annotation of a RefSeq genome assembly. Lineage: Eukaryota; Metazoa; Chordata; Mammalia; Carnivora; Otariidae.
AUGGCCUCUGCGCGCAUCUCCACACUUGGGAUUCUCUUCACACUGAGUGGACUGAGAGCUCAGUCGGUGUCGCAGCCAGAUCAUGUCACUGUUGCUGAAGGGGAUCCACUGACUGUGAAUUGUACCUAUUCAGUUUCUGGAAACCCUUAUCUCUUUUGGUACGUCCGGUAUCCCAGCCAAGGUCUCCAGUUCCUUCUGAAAUACAUCACCGGAACAACCUGGUUAAAGGGAGCUACGGUUUUGAGGCUGAAUUUAAUAACAGCCAAACCUCUUUCCACCUGAAGAAACCAUCUGUCCUCCGGAGCGAUUCUGCUGUGUACUUCUGUGUGGUGGCAGACACAGUGGUGGGGGCGGUGGGGGCAGCUGAGCACAAACCCCUGAGUACCACCCUGGAACUUUUUCCCGAAGCCUUUAUGUCCCUCCACUAG